This 502-nucleotide ribosomal RNA is filed under the name uncultured bacterium. Its description in RNAcentral is "bacterial SSU rRNA". It matches the Rfam family "Bacterial small subunit ribosomal RNA", at positions 29 to 524 of the family's 1533-position model. The record is from RNAcentral.
AUUGAACGCUGGCGGCGUGCUUAACACAUGCAAGUCGAUCGGUAACAGGUGUAGCAAUACAUGCUGACGAGAGGCGGACGGGUGAGUAAUGCUUGGGAAUCUGCCUAUUAGUGGGGGACAACCCGGGGAAACUCGGGCUAAUACCGCAUACGCUCUACGGAGGAAAGCCGGGGACCGCAAGGCCUGGCGCUAAUAGAUGAGCCCAAGUCGGAUUAGCUAGUUGGUAGGGAACGGCCUACCAAGGCGACAAUCCGUAGCUGGUCUGAGAGGACGACCAGCCACACCGGAACUGAGACACGGUCCGGACUCCUACGGGAGGCAGCAGUGGGGAAUAUUGGACAAUGGGGGCAACCCUGAUCCAGCGACGCCGCGUGGGUGAAGAAGGCCUGCGGGUUGUAAAGCCCUUUCGGUGGGGAAGAAAAGUCUCGACCUAAUACGUCGGGACCUUGACGUAACCCACUAAAGAAGCACCGGCUAACUCUGUGACAGCAGCCGCUGUAAU